RNAcentral lists this transfer RNA (55 nucleotides) under Loxodonta africana (African savanna elephant). It matches the Rfam family "tRNA", at positions 10 to 63 of the family's 71-position model. From Rfam's summary of the family: Transfer RNA (tRNA) molecules are approximately 80 nucleotides in length. Their secondary structure includes four short double-helical elements and three loops (D, anti-codon, and T loops). Further hydrogen bonds mediate the characteristic L-shaped molecular structure. tRNAs have two regions of fundamental functional importance: the anti-codon, which is responsible for specific mRNA codon recognition, and the 3' end, to which the tRNAs corresponding amino acid is attached (by aminoacyl-tRNA synthetases). tRNAs cope with the degeneracy of the genetic code in two manners: having more than one tRNA (with a specific anti-codon) for a particular amino acid; and 'wobble' base-pairing, i.e. permitting non-standard base-pairing at the 3rd anti-codon position. Lineage: Eukaryota; Metazoa; Chordata; Mammalia; Proboscidea; Elephantidae. The record is from Rfam by way of RNAcentral.
GCAAAGGGCUAAUGCAUUUGGCUGGUAACCAAAAGCUUGGAGGUUCGAAUCCACC